AACGAACGCUGGCGGCAUGCCUAACACAUGCAAGUCGAACGAGAUCUUCGGGUCUAGUGGCGCACGGGUGCGUAACGCGUGGGAAUCUGCCCUUUGGUUCGGAAUAACAGUUGGAAACGACUGCUAAUACCGGAUGAUGACGUAAGUCCAAAGACUUAUCGCCAGAGGAUGAGCCCGCGUAGGAUUAGCUAGUUGGUGUGGUAAAGGCGCACCAAGGCGACGAUCCUUAGCUGGUCUGAGAGGAUGAUCAGCCACACUGGGACUGAGACACGGCCCAGACUCCUACGGGAGGCAGCUGUGGGGAAUAUUGGACAAUGGGCGAAAGCCUGAUCCAGCAAUGCCGCGUGAGUGAUGAAGGCCUUAGGGUUGUAAAGCUCUUUUACCCGGGAUGAUAAUGACAGUACCGGGAGAAUAAGCUCCGGCUAACUCCGUGCCAGCCGCCGCAGUAA
RNAcentral lists this ribosomal RNA (449 nucleotides) under uncultured bacterium. Its description in RNAcentral is "partial 16S ribosomal RNA". It matches the Rfam family "Bacterial small subunit ribosomal RNA", at positions 29 to 523 of the family's 1533-position model. The record is from RNAcentral.